This 393-nucleotide ribosomal RNA is filed under the name uncultured bacterium. RNAcentral's name for it is "partial 16S ribosomal RNA". It matches the Rfam family "Bacterial small subunit ribosomal RNA", at positions 523 to 918 of the family's 1533-position model. The record is from RNAcentral.
AUACGGAGGAUCCGAGCGUUAUCCGGAUUUAUUGGGUUUAAAGGGUGCGCAGGCGGGAGAUUAAGUCGGCGGUGAAAUUUUGCAGCUCAACUGUAAAAGUGCCUUCGAAACUGGUUUCCUUGAGUGUAGAUGAAGUAGGCGGAAUUUGUGGUGUAGCGGUGAAAUGCAUAGAUAUCACGAGGAACUCCGAUUGCGCAGGCAGCUUACUAAACUACUACUGACGCUCAGGCACGAAGGCGUGGGGAUCAAACAGGAUUAGAUACCCUGGUAGUCCACGCAGUAAACGAUGAUUACUAGCUGUUUGCGAUACAAUGUAAGCGGCUGAGCGAAAGCGUUACGUAAUCCACCUGGGGAGUACGUUCGCAAGAAUGAAACUCAAAGGAAUUGACGGGG